GCUGGGCGUGGUGGCUCACGCCUGUAAUCCCAGUACUUUGGGAGGCUGAGGUGGGAGGAUUACUUGAGCCCAGGAGUUCGAGAUCAGCCUGGGCAACACAGUGAGACUUUGCCUCUA
Molecule: non-coding RNA, 117 nt
Filed under: Pan troglodytes (chimpanzee)
Lineage: Eukaryota; Metazoa; Chordata; Mammalia; Primates; Hominidae
Source: Rfam by way of RNAcentral